RNAcentral lists this long non-coding RNA (2102 nucleotides) under Triticum aestivum (bread wheat). RNAcentral's name for it is "long non-coding RNA (TAES_LNC023019)". Lineage: Eukaryota; Viridiplantae; Streptophyta; Magnoliopsida; Poales; Poaceae. The record is from RNAcentral.
CUUUGUUUAGGUCAGGUCUAGGUUCCCCAUAUCGUCUUGUUCCCCCACCCUCCAACUCCUCCAAGCGAUUGCCCCUCCCUCACGCCGCGUCCCAUGCUUCGGGGAAGAGAGGUUGUUCCGUGGAGCGCUCGUGCUUGCGGCAGCGGGCAGAUCCCGUUCCAGAGGAGGCCCAAGGGGAGGAUCCGCGGCAGCGGUGUUUAAGGAGGUUUGCCGUCACGUGCACCAGGAGCCCGAUUCCGUUUCAAUUUGGCUCAGUUUUACUUGGUUAGUUUCCUAAUCCUUUUCAAUCUACCUUAUCUCAAGAUUACAUGUGAGCUAACCUUCUUAUAUAGUGCGUGUACACAAUGAACCUUUGUAUAAUAUAUACAUGGCAAUUUUUUGAAAAGGACUAUAAACAUCUUCUACACGAUGAGCAGAAAAAAUAAGGAAAAAAAUAUAAACGGGUAGAAAAGGAAAAAUACAAUAAGGAAACGAAAAGAAAAAUAAUACGUGACAUACAAUAACAAAAGGCCCGAAAAGGGAAAAAGGGAACGAAGAUAAAAACACAUACCAAACCGUUCAGAAAACACCCGACAAACUCACUCGAAGCAAGCUUGAGUGAAAAUAAUGAAAAAUAACUGCCUCAUGGGCUGUGAUCCACGAACCGCCUCAUGUAGUCACCCGAUAAUGCAUUCUCGCUAUAGGCGAGAAAUAGCUUUUGCGACCCAUAUACUCUGCGGGGCGCGUGUUGUGAGCGGAUUGGCCCGGACACGUCAUUUCAGUUACUAUUAUGCGAAUCGCGUUAAACAAAUCCUGCUUUUUAUACACUCUUAUGUGUGCAACUCCACGCACAUCAGAAGGGUCCUUUGUUUAGGCUAGGUCUAGGCUUCCCAUAUCGUCUUGUUCCCCCACCCUCCAACUCCUCCAAGCGAUUGCCUCUCCCUCACGCCGCGUCCCAUGCUCUGCGAAAUAGAGGUUGUUCUGUGGAGCGCGCGUGCUUGCGGCAAUGGGCAGAUCCGGUUCCGGAGGAGGCCCAAGGGGAGGAUCUACGGCGGCAGUGUUUAAGGAGGUUUGCCGUCACGUGCACCAGGAGCCCGAUUUGGGUCGAUUUUACUUGGUUAGUUUCCUAAUCCUUUUCAAUGUACCUUAUCUCGAGAUUACAUGUCAGCUAACCUUCUUAUAUAGUGCUUGUACACAAUGAACCUUUGUAUAAUAUAUACAUGGCAAUUUUUUGAAAAGGACUAUGGACAUCUUCUACACGAUGAGCAGAAAAAAUAACGAAAAAAAGAAUAUUAAUGGGGAAAGGAAAAAUACAAUAAGUAAAUGAAAAGAAAAACAAUACGUGACAUACAACAACAAAAGGCCCGAAAAGGGAAAAAUGGAACGAAGAUGAAAAAACACAUACCAAACAGGUCAGAAAAAACCCGACCAACUCACUCGAAGCAAGCUUGAGUGAAAAUAAUGAAAAAUAACUGCCUCAUGGGCUGUGAUCCUCGAACCGCCUCAUGUAGUCACCCCAUAAUGCAUUCUCGCGAUAAGCAAGAAAUAGCUUUUGCGACCCGUAUACUUUGUGGGGCGCGUGUUGUGAGCGGAUUGGUCCGGACACAUCAUUUCAGUUACUAUUAUGCUAAUUGCAUUAAACACAUCCAACCUUUUCUACACUCUUAUAUGCGCAACUCCAUACACAUCAGAAGAGUCCUUUGUUUAGGUUAGGUCUAGGUUUCCCAAAUCGUCUUGUUCCCCAACCCUCCAACUCCUCCAAGCGAUUGCCUCCCCCUCGUGCAGCGUCUUGUGCUUUGUGGAGGAGAGGUUGUUCCAUGGAGUGCACGUGCUUGUGGCAGCGGGCAGAUCUGGCGCCGGAGGAGGCCCAAGGGAAGGAUCGGUGGCGGCAGUGUUUAAGGAGGUUUGCUGUCACGUGCACCAGGAGCCCGAGUCAGUUCAGAUUUGGCUCGGUUUUAUUUGGUUAGUUUCCCAAUCCUUUUCAAUCUACCUUAUCUCGAGAUUACAUGUGAUGCUAGCUUCUUAUAUAUUGCUUGUACACAAUGAACUUUUGUAUAAUAUACAUACAUGGUAAUUUUUCUGAAAAAGACUAUGAACGUCUCUUACACAAUGAGCAGAAAAAA